AUCUACAACCAUACCACCCUGAGCACGCCCAAUCUUGUCUGCUCUUGGAAGUUUAGCAGGGUUGGGCCGUUUAGUUCUUGGAUGGGAGACUGCCUGUUAAUACCGGCCGCUGAAGGCU
This is a ribosomal RNA of Macaca nemestrina (pig-tailed macaque), 118 nucleotides long. The record is from Ensembl. NCBI's taxonomy places the organism in Eukaryota, Metazoa, Chordata, Mammalia, Primates, Cercopithecidae.